Molecule: ribosomal RNA, 564 nt
Filed under: uncultured bacterium
Lineage: Bacteria
Description: partial 16S ribosomal RNA
Rfam family: Bacterial small subunit ribosomal RNA
Source: RNAcentral
UGGGGAAUAUUGGACAAUGGGCGAAAGCCUGAUCCAGCAAUGCCGCGUGAGUGAUGAAGGCCUUAGGGUUGUAAAGCUCUUUUACCCGGGAUGAUAAUGACAGUACCGGGAGAAUAAGCUCCGGCUAACUCCGUGCCAGCAGCCGCGGUAAUACGGAGGGAGCUAGCGUUGUUCGGAAUUACUGGGCGUAAAGCGCACGUAGGCGGCUUUGUAAGUCAGAGGUGAAAGCCUGGAGCUCAACUCCAGAACUGCCUUUGAGACUGCAUCGCUUGAAUCCAGGAGAGGUGAGUGGAAUUCCGAGUGUAGAGGUGAAAUUCGUAGAUAUUCGGAAGAACACCAGUGGCGAAGGCGGCUCACUGGACUGGUAUUGACGCUGAGGUGCGAAAAGCGUGGGGAGCAAAACAGGAUUAGAUACCCUGGUAGUCCACGCCGUAAAACGAUGAUAACUAGCUGUCCGGGCACUUGGUGCUUGGGUGGCGCAGCUAACGCAUUAAGUUAUCCGCCUGGGGAGUACGGUCGCAAGAUUAAAACUCAAAGGAAUUGACGGGGUCAUAGCUGUUUCCU